This 378-nucleotide ribosomal RNA is filed under the name uncultured bacterium. RNAcentral's name for it is "bacterial SSU rRNA". It matches the Rfam family "Bacterial small subunit ribosomal RNA", at positions 28 to 407 of the family's 1533-position model. The record is from RNAcentral.
GACGAACGCUGGCGGCGUGCUUAACACAUGCAAGUCGAGCGGUAAGGCCCUUUCGGGGGUACACGAGCGGCGAACGGGUGAGUAACACGUGGGUGACCUGCCUUUAGUCUCUGGGAUAAGCCUGGGAAACCGGGUCUAAUACCGGAUAUGACUCCGCGGCGCAUGUUGUGGGGUGGAAAGCCUUGUGCGGCUGGAGAUGGGCCCGCGGCCUAUCAGCUUGUUGGUGGGGUGAUGGCCUACCAAGGCGACGACGGGUAGCCGGCCUGAGAGGGCGACCGGCCACACUGGGACUGAGACACGGCCCAGACUCCUACGGGAGGCAGCAGUGGGGAAUCUUGCGCAAUGGCGAAAGCCUGACGCAGCGACGCCGCGUGAGGG